AACUUAUCUUUGCCGAGUUCCCGCAAGGGAAACGGGGGAUCCAUUUUUGGGUGAAUUGACCUCGCAACAAAGUGGUCAUAGGGAACCUUCUCACCGAACCCUCAAGCUAACCUCGUAGGCACCGGAAGGGGCAUCU
This 136-nucleotide small RNA is filed under the name Paenibacillus swuensis. RNAcentral describes it as "c-di-AMP sequence". It matches the Rfam family "c-di-AMP riboswitch aptamer (ydaO/yuaA leader)". Rfam says of the family: This family represents a conserved RNA structure found upstream of the ydaO and yuaA genes in Bacillus subtilis and related genes in other bacteria. The ydaO/yuaA element is thought to act as a genetic "off" switch for the ydaO and yuaA genes in its native state. The record is from Rfam by way of RNAcentral. Lineage: Bacteria; Bacillati; Bacillota; Bacilli; Caryophanales; Paenibacillaceae.